This 575-nucleotide ribosomal RNA is filed under the name Stefania coxi. RNAcentral describes it as "partial 16S ribosomal RNA". It matches the Rfam family "Bacterial large subunit ribosomal RNA", at positions 1810 to 2598 of the family's 2925-position model. The record is from RNAcentral. Lineage: Eukaryota; Metazoa; Chordata; Amphibia; Anura; Hemiphractidae.
AAAACAUCGCCUCUUGCCCCACCAUAAGAGGUCCAGCCUGCCCAGUGACCCUGUUCAACGGCCGCGGUAUCCUGACCGUGCGAAGGUAGCGUAAUCACUUGUCUUUUAAAUAGAGACUAGUAUGAAUGGCAUCACGAGGGUUUCACUGUCUCCUUUUCCCAAUCAAUGAAACUAAUCUUCCCGUGAAGAAGCGGGAAUCUAAAUAUAAGACGAGAAGACCCUAUGGAGCUUAAGACAAAAUAAUAUUUGCUGACCCCCCCCCGCCCAAUCGGGCCACUAACUACUAUUUUAGCACAUUAAUUAUUAGUCUUUGGUUGGGGCGACUACGGAGCAAAAUUUAACCUCCAUGUUGAACGGCACUAGCCUUAACAAAAAGAUACAACUUUACGUAUCAACAGAUUGACAUCAAUUGAUCCAAUAUUUUGAUCAACGGACCAAGUUACCCUAGGGAUAACAGCGCAAUCCACUUCGAGAGUUCAUAUCGAAAAGUGGGCUUACGACCUCGAUGUUGGAUCAGGGUCUCCCAGUGGUGCAGCCGCUACUAAAGGUUCGUUUGUUCAACGAUCAAAACCCUA